GGGCAGCCCAUGUUCGGCAGAGAAACAAGACUGCGAGUGAGGAGGAUGGACCUUAAUAUAGUGUGUUAUACACACGCCCAUAGCACAAGAUGGCAGGGAAGCGAAGAAGCGUUCGGGAGACAAACGGUGGUGGAGGCAUGUCGAGACAAAGAGUAGAUGAAGGUUGAUGAAAUACAAGCGCUUGAGCCUUUGUUGGGGAAAUUAGACAUUGCGUGGAGCCAUGUCCUUUUUUUCUUAAGGUUGUAAAAGGUUUUCUUCUGGAGUCGAAUGCGUUGCUGCCUCCUCAAGACUACUUGACUCCAUACUGCUGAGGAGAGGGUCAAGUGGAGACAGACAUCAGAUGUUUCUUCAAGAUGGCAUCUACUUUAUCUGUUCUCUGGGACUGCUGAUUCUUAGGACAAGCCUGGCUGUGAUUUCAAUUGGAUGCUCUUUGAUCAGCUGCAACAGUAUUUGGACUUUUGAGUUGAUUUUCACAAACCCUAACUUUUUUAAAGUUGUGUAACCUUUGUGUAUAAUUCAAUGUUUUGAUAACCAAAUGCAGUGUUGAAUGUUUGAAACUUCUGUAAUGUGUAAAGUUGGAUGGCUCCAUUGCUUUAAAGGAUCUUGAAUAAAGGGUUUCACUGUC
Long non-coding RNA from Erpetoichthys calabaricus (reedfish), 625 nucleotides. RefSeq lists it as uncharacterized. The record is from RefSeq and is a predicted model, not a curated record. The transcript is spliced from 4 exons. NCBI's taxonomy places the organism in Eukaryota, Metazoa, Chordata, Cladistia, Polypteriformes, Polypteridae.